RNAcentral lists this ribosomal RNA (376 nucleotides) under uncultured bacterium. RNAcentral's name for it is "bacterial SSU rRNA". It matches the Rfam family "Bacterial small subunit ribosomal RNA", at positions 524 to 898 of the family's 1533-position model. The record is from RNAcentral.
UACGAAGGGUGCAAGCGUUAAUCGGAAUUACUGGGCGUAAAGCGUGCGUAGGCGGUUGUUUAAGUCUGCUGUGAAAUCCCCGGGCUCAACCUGGGAAUGGCAGUGGAUACUGGACAGCUAGAGUGUGAUAGAGGAUGGUGGAAUUCCCGGUGUAGCGGUGAAAUGCGUAGAGAUCGGGAGGAACAUCAGUGGCGAAGGCGGCCAUCUGGAUCAACACUGACGCUGAGGCACGAAAGCGUGGGGAGCAAACAGGAUUAGAUACCCUGGUAGUCCACGCCCUAAACGAUGCGAACUGGAUGUUGGUCUCAACUCGGAGAUCAGUGUCGAAGCUAACGCGUUAAGUUCGCCGCCUGGGGAGUACGGUCGCAAGACUGAA